UCGUAACAAGGUCUCCGUUGGUGAACCAGCGGAGGGAUCAUUACUGAGUUUACGCUCUACAACCCUUUGUGAACAUACCUAUAACUGUUGCUUCGGCGGGUAGGGUCUCCGCGACCCUCCCGGCCUCCCGCCCCCGGGCGGGUCGGCGCCCGCCGGAGGAUAACCAAACUCUGAUUUAACGACGUUUCUUCUGAGUGGUACAAGCAAAUAAUCAAAACUUUUAACAACGGAUCUCUUGGUUCUGGCAUCGAUGAAGAACGCAGCGAAAUGCGAUAAGUAAUGUGAAUUGCAGAAUUCAGUGAAUCAUCGAAUCUUUGAACGCACAUUGCGCCCGCCAGCAUUCUGGCGGGCAUGCCUGUUCGAGCGUCAUUUCAACCCUCAAGCUCUGCUUGGUGUUGGGGCCCUACAGCCGAUGUAGGCCCUCAAAGGUAGUGGCGGACCCUCCCGGAGCCUCCUUUGCGUAGUAACUUUACGUCUCGCACUGGGAUCCGGAGGGACUCUUGCCGUAAAACCCCCAAUUUUCCAAAGGUUGACCUCGGAUCAGGUAGGAAUACCCGCUGAACUUAAGCAUAUCAAA
RNAcentral lists this ribosomal RNA (577 nucleotides) under Colletotrichum sp. ICMP 17324. RNAcentral describes it as "eukaryotic LSU rRNA". The stretch from base 216 to 369 matches the Rfam family "5.8S ribosomal RNA". The record is from RNAcentral. Lineage: Eukaryota; Fungi; Ascomycota; Sordariomycetes; Glomerellales; Glomerellaceae.